Molecule: ribosomal RNA, 491 nt
Filed under: uncultured bacterium
Lineage: Bacteria
Description: partial 16S ribosomal RNA
Rfam family: Bacterial small subunit ribosomal RNA
Source: RNAcentral
AUGAACGCUGGCUACAGGCUUAACACAUGCAAGUCGAGGGGAAACGGCAUUGAGUGCUUGCACUGAUUGGACGUCGACCGGCGCACGGGUGAGUAACGCGUAUCCAACCUUCCCGUUACUGCGGGAUAACCUGCCGAAAGGCAGACUAAUACCGCAUGUUCUUCGAUGACGGCAUCAGAUUCGAAGCAAAGAUCCGUCGGUAACGGAGGGGGAUGCGUCUGAUUAGCUAGUUGGCGGGGCGACGGCCCACCAAGGCGACGAUCAGUAGGGGUUCUAAGAGGAAGGUCCCCCACAUUGGAACUGAGACACGGUCCAAACUCCUACGGGAGGCAGCAGUGAGGAAUAUUGGUCAAUGGGCGGAAGCCUGAACCAGCCAAGUAGCGUGCAGGAUGACGGCCCUACGGGUUGUAAACUGCUUUUAUGCGGGGAUAAAGUGAGGGACGCGUCCCUUUUUGCAGGUACCGCAUGAAUAAGGACCGGCUAAUUCCGUG